This is a small nuclear RNA of Dermochelys coriacea (leatherback sea turtle), 106 nucleotides long. The record is from RefSeq and is a predicted model, not a curated record. NCBI's taxonomy places the organism in Eukaryota, Metazoa, Chordata, Testudines, Dermochelyidae.
GUUAGCAUUCCCCUUGAUAAGGAUGGAAGAGGUCCAAGUGACCUUCACAACACACAUAUGGUUAAGGCAUUGCCACUUACUUUGUGGCAUCUAAUAUUGUUAAUGU